Long non-coding RNA from Cercocebus atys (sooty mangabey), 5881 nucleotides. RefSeq lists it as uncharacterized. The record is from RefSeq and is a predicted model, not a curated record. Lineage: Eukaryota; Metazoa; Chordata; Mammalia; Primates; Cercopithecidae. The transcript is spliced from 2 exons.
ACUACAGGCACGUGCCACCACACCUGGCUAAUUUUUUAGUUUUUGUAGAGAUAGGGGUCUUGCUCUGUUGCCUAGGUGGUACCAAAUUCCUGGGCUCCCGAAGCACUGGGGUUACUGGCAUUGAAAUGAGACCACCACUUCUGCUGUCCUUCCCAGCUUCUCCCCCACCUCCCCUUUUCCCUAGUUCAUAAGACAGGAAAAAAGAGACAAAGCAAAAAGUUGGAAAGAAACAGAAGUAAGAUAAAUAGCCAGAUGACCUUGGUGCUACCGCCCGGCCCUGGUGGUUAAAAUAAUAAUAUUAAUAAUGUUAACCCCUGACCAAAACUACUUGUGUCAUCUGUAAAUUCCAGACAUUGUAUGAGAAAGCACUGUAAAACUUCUUGUUCUGUUAGCUGAUGCAUGUAGCCCCCAGUCACAUUCCUCAUGCUUGCUUGAUCUAUUAUGACAUUUUCAUGUGGACCCCUUAGAAUUGCAAGCCCUUAAAAGGGCUAGGAAUUUCUUUUUUUGGGGAGCUCAACUCUUAAGACGUGAAUCUGCCGACGCUCCAGGCUGAAUAAACCACUUCUUUCUUUAACCUGGUGUCUGAGGAGUUUUGUCUGUGGCUUGUCCUGCUACAUUUCUUGGUUCCCUGACCAGGAAUUGAACCUGGGUCGCAGCAGUGAGCACGCCAAAUCCUAACCACUAGACCACCUGGGAAACUUAGAACUUUGUGUGAAAUAGAUUGGCCGGCAUUAGAAGUGGGUUGGCCAUCAGAAGGAAGCCUGAACAGGCCCCUUGUUUCUAAGUUGUGGUACAAGGUAACUGGUAAAUCAGGACACUCAGACCGAUUCCCAUACAUAGACACUUGGUUACAGCUGGUGCUAGACCCCCCACAGUGGCUAAGAGGGCAGGCGGCAGCAGUGCUAGUAGCAGAGGACAGAGAGCCAAGGAAGGAUCCCACUCCACCCACCGAGGGAAAUCAACUCCUGAAGUUCUGUUCGACCCAACACCAGGAGAUCCAUUGCAGGAGAUGGCACCAGUGAUCCCAGGGGUGCCCUCCCCUUACCAGGGAGAGAGGCUCCCCACUCUUGAGCCCACAGUGCUUGCGCCUCCGUAAGACGAACAUAUCCCUAGGCCAUCCAGAGUAGACAGGGAGGAGGUGAAGCCUCGGGAGAAACCCCUCCCUUGGCAGCUCGUUGACGACCCAGAACUGGGAUACAAAUGCCCCUGAGAGAGCAGCGGAAUACUGGGAUAGAUGAGGAUGGGCGCAUGGUGGAGAGGCGUGUUUUGUGUACCAGCCCUUCACCUCUGCCGACCUUCUCAACUGGAAAAACAAUACCCCGUCCUAUACUGAAAAGUCACAAGCUCUAAUUGAUUUGCUCCAAACUAUUAUCCAGACCCAUAUCCCCACCUGGGCUGAUUGCCACCUGCUGCUCAUGUUCCUCUCUAACACGGCUGAAAGGUGGAGAGUGCUCCAAGCAGCAACUAAGUGGCUGGAGGAACACGCACCAGCUGAUUACUGAAACCCCCGAGAGUAUGUGAGGACCCAGUUCCCAGGAACCGACCCCGGUGGGACCCAGAUUAAAGAGAGGACAUGCAAAGGCUGAACCGCGACAGGGAAGCUCUCCUGGGAGGAUUAAAGAGGGAGCCCAGAAGGCCACAAGGGUUAACAAGGUCUCUGAGGUCAUUCAGGGAAAAGAAGAAAGUCCAACACAAUUCUAUGAGAGACUGUGUGAGGCCUGUCGUUUGUAUACUCCCUUCCAUCCCGAUAGCCCUGAAAAUCAGCGCAUGAUUAACAUGGCUUUAGUUAGUCAAAGCGCAGAAGACAGAAGAAAACUGCAGAAACAGGCUGGGUUUGCAGGGAUGAAUACGUCACAGUUAUUAGAAAUAGCUAACCAGGUGUUUGUAAACAGGGAUGCAGUUUGCCGUAAGGAAAACCGCAGAGAGUGAACGUCAGGCCCGGCGAAACACUGACCUGCUAGCUGCAGCAACCAGAGGGGUCCCCCCAAAGAGGCAAGGGAAGGGGGCGCCCAGGAAAGAAAUUCAGCCUGGCUGUCAGAGUCUGCAGUGUAACCAAUGUGCUUAUUGUAAAGAAAUAGGAUAUUGAAGAACAAAUGCCCUCAGCUAAAAGGAAAACAAGGAGACUCAGAGCAGGAGGCCCCAGACAAGGAGGAAGGGGCCCUGCUCAACCUGGCAGAAGGGUUGUUGGACUGAGGGGGACCGGGCUCAAGUGCCCCCAAAGAGCCUACGGUCCGGAUGACAGUCGGGGGUAAAGACAUCGAUUUUCUUGUAGAUACCGGUGCUGAGCAUUCUGUAGUAACCGCCCCCAGUCGCCCCCUUAUCCAAAAAGACCAUUGACAUAGUCGGAGGUUUCAGCAAAGCAAGCUUUCUGCUUGCCUCGGACUUGUCCUGCAGGAGGACGUAACGUGAUUCGUCAGUUUUUGUACAUGCUUGACUGUCUCUUGCCCUUGUUGGGAAGGGACUUGCUGAGCAAGCUGAGCGCCACUAUCCCUUUUACAGAGCACGGCUCUUUGCUGCUAAAGUUACCUGGGACAUGAGUCAUUAUGACCCUUACGGGCCCCCGAGACGAGGAAUGGAGGCUUUUCUUAACUGAGCCGGGCCAAGAGAUAAGACCAGCUCUGGCUCAGCGGUGGCCAAGAGUGUGGGCAGAAAACAACCCUCCAGGGUUGGCCACCAACCAAGCCCCUGUACUUCUAGAAGUUAAGCCUGGGGCCCAGCCGGUUAGGCAAAAACCAGGUCCCCAGAGAAGCUCUUGGAGGUAUCCAGGUCCAUCUUAAGCACCUGAGAACCUUUGGCAUUAUAGUUCCUUGUCAGUCUCCAUGGAACACUCCCCUCCUGCCUGUUUCCAAGCCAGGGACCAAGGACUACAGGCCGGCACAGGAUUUGCGCCUGGUUAAUCAAGAUACAGUGACUUUACAUCUAACAGUACCUAACCCGUACACAUUGCUGGGGUUGCUGCCAGCUGAGGACACCUGGUUCACCUGCUUGGACCUGAAAGACACUUUCUUUAGCAUCAGAUUAGCCCCUGAGAGCCAGAAGCUCUUUGCCUUUCAGUGGGAAGAUCUGGAGUCAGGUGUCACUACUCUGUAUACUUAGACCUGGCUUCCCCAAGGGUUCAAGAACUCCCCCACCAUCUUUGGGGAGGCAUUGGCUCGAGACCGCCAGAAGUUUCCCACCAGAGUCCUAGGCUGCGUGUUGCUGCAGUACGUCGAUGACCUUCUGCUGGGACACCCCACGGCAGUCGGGUGCACCACGGGAACCGAUGCCCUACUCCGGCACCUGGAGGACUGUGGGUAUAAAGUGUCCAAGAAAAAAGCUCAGAUCUGCUGACAGCAGGUACGUUACUUGGGAUUUACUAUCCGACAGGGGGACGCAGCCUGGGAUCAGAAAGAAAGCAGGUCAUUUGCAAUCUACCGGAGCCUAAGAGCAGAAGGCAGGUGAGAGAAUUCUUAGGAACUGUAGGGUUUUGCAGACUGUGGAUCCCAAACUUUGCAAUAUUAGCCAAGCCUUUGUAUGAGGUCACCAAGGCGGGGACCGGGAACCAUUUGAAUGGGGAUCCCAACAACAGCGAGCCUUUCAUGAGUUAAAGAAAAAACUUCUGUCAACCCCAGCCCUGGGGCUACCCGAUCUGACAAAGCCUUCUACAUUGUAUGUGUCAGAGAGAGAAAAGAUGGCAGUUGGAGUUUUAACCCAAACUGUGGGGCCCUGGCCGAGGCCGGUGGCCUAUCUCUCUAAACAACUAGACAGGGUUUCUAAAGGAUGGCCCCCGUGUUUGAGGGCCUUGGCAGCAACUGCCCUGCUAGUACAAGAAGCAGACAAGCUGACUCUUGGGCAAAACCUGAACAUAAAGACCCCCCAUGCUGUGGUGACUUUAGUGAAUACUAAAGGACAUCAUUGGUUAACGAAUGCUAGACUCACCAAGUACCAAAGUUUGCUCUGUGAAAAUCCCCGUAUAACCACUGAAGUUUGUAACAUCCUGAACCCCGCCACCUUGCUCCUGGUAUCAGAGAUCCCUGUUAAGCAUGACUGUGUUGGACUCAGUUUACUCCAGCAGACCUGACCUCCGGGACCAGCUUUGGGCAACAGUAGAGUGGGAACUAUACGUGGAUGGGAGCAGCUUCAUCAGCUCACGAGGAGAGAGAUGUGCAGGGUAUGCAGUGGUAACCCUGGACACUGCUCUUGAAGCCAGAUUGUUGCCCCAGGGCGCUUCAGCCCAGAAAGCUGAACUCAUUGCUUUAAUUCCGGCCUUAGAACUCAGCGAAGGUAAGACUGUAAACAUUUACACUGAUUCUCGGUAUGACUUUUUAACCCUUCAAGUGCAUGGAGCAUCAUAUAAAGAAAAGGGCCUAUCGAACUCUGGGGGAAAGGACAUAAAGUAUCAACGAGAAAUCUUGCAAUUAUUAGAAGCAGUAUGGAAACCCCACAAGGUGGCAGUUAUGCAUUGCAGAGGACACCAGCGAGCUUCCAUCUUGGUGGGUUUGGGGAAUUCCUGCACUGACUCAGAAGCUCAAAAAGCAGCAUCUGCCCCCUUCCGGGCAUCAGUCACAGCCCCCUGCUCCCUCAAGCACCUGAUCUUGUACCUACUUAUUCUAAAGAAGAAAAGGACUUUCUCCAGGCAGAGAGAGAGGACAAGAGAUGGAGGAAGGGUGGAUUCGGUUACCAGAUGGGAGAGUAGCUGUGUCACAGCUGCAGGAGCCGCAGUUGUACUGGCUGUGCAUGAAACCACCCAUCUAGGUCAGGAGUCACUUGAAAAGUGGUUAGGCCGGUAUUUCUACAUCUCGUGUUUGUCAGCCCUUGCCAAAACGGUGACGCAGCGGUGUGUUACCUGCGGACAGCACAAUGCGAGGCAAGGUCCAGCCAUUCCGCCCGGAAUACAGGCUUAUGGAGCAGCCCCCUUUGAAGAUCUCCAGGUGGGCUUCACAGAGAUGCCAAAGUGUGGCGGUAACAAGUAUCUACUAGUUCUUGUGUGUACCUACUCUGGGUGGGUUGAGGCUUAUCCAACACGAACUGAGUAACCUGCGUGCUUCUUCGAGAUCUUAUUCCUAGAUUUGGACUGCCCUUAUGGAUCGGCUCAGAUAAUGGGCCGGCGUUUGUGGCUGACUGGGUGCAGAAGAUGGCAAAGGUGAUCGAGUGUGGAUCAAGGACUGGAACGUAGCCUCUUUGUGCUCACGGUGGAAAGGACCCCAGACUGUCGUCCUGAACACUCCCACCGCUGUGAAGGUAGAGGGAAUCCUAGCCCGGAUCCACCACAGCCUUGUAAAACCUGCAGCGCCUGAAACCUGGGAGGCAAGACCCAGCCCGGACAACCCCUGCAGAGUGACCCUGAAGACGACGACAAGCCCUGCUCCAGUCACACCCGGAAGCUGACUGGUCCACGCACGGCCGAAGCAUGAGGAAUCUCAUCGUGGGAUUCAUUUUUCUUCAACUUUGGACUUACAUAGUAAGGGCUUCGAUGGACCUUACUCAAACUGGGGACUGUUCCCAGUGUGUUCAUCAGGUCACUGAGGUAGGACAGCAAAUUAAAACAAUCUUUCUGUUCUAUAGUUAUUAUGAAUGUAUGGGUAUGUUAAAAGAAACUUGUUUGUAUAAUGCCACUCAGUACAAGGUAUGUAGCCCGGGAAAUGACCAACCUGAUGUGUGUUAUAACCCAUCUGAGUCCCCUGCAACCACCGUUUUCGAAAUAAGAUUAAGAACUGGCCUUUUCCUAGGUGAUACAAGUAAAAUAAUAACUAGAACAGAAGGAAAAGGAAUCCCCAAACAAGUAGCUUUAAGAUUUAACGCUUGUUCAGCCAUUAAUAGUAACAAGCUAGGAACAGGAUGUGGUUCUGUUAACUGUGAAAGGAGCUACAGAGUAGAAAAUAAAUAUGUUUGUUAUGAGUCA